Molecule: long non-coding RNA, 1555 nt
Organism: Anas platyrhynchos (mallard)
Lineage: Eukaryota; Metazoa; Chordata; Aves; Anseriformes; Anatidae
Source: RefSeq, a predicted model, not a curated record
UCUCUAUGACAAAAGAAGUCUCUUGCACCUCCCACAAAUAGGUGAUGCAAAAUGGAGAAGCAAUAGCCACUGAGGGCUCUCUCCAGUUCCUCUUAACAGUGAACAGCUGCAACUUCUUAAAGUUGAAAUUAUCAGGCUAUUAAGGACCAUUUGAUUGCUGGGCACCAUUCACCCAUCUACCCCAGCAAAAAAAAAGCUACAGAACAGGUUGGAAAAAUUAAACAGGAUUCAGCUGGAUCCACGUAGCUUCCCUCAUGAGUGGAGAUGAAUGGAAAAUUUAUCCAUCGUCCCUGCUUCUCCUGGGUCAUGUGGACUUUGGAGGAUUUGGAGCAGGAGAGAGAAGCCUGAGCAGCAAACAAGUUGGAACUGGAGCCUGCCUUGACAGUUGCAGCAGAAAUGCCUUUCUGGAGUAUGCCAGGGCUAUAAAAUGAAUUUGACAUCUGUGGAAAGGAGAAGGGCAGCAAUAAAUUUAUCAGCUUUGUAUUUAGAUGAUUUUAGACUGACGUAUAUGUUUCUCUUAUCAUGGACUUCAGUUGAGCCAGUCAAGAUGCAAAAAUAUGCUAUCAUGAUAGGAGGAUGGCCUAAGAAACUGAGGAGACAACAACUUCUGGAGAAAUCUUUCAGUCAGCUGUGCAUCAGUACUUCAGGUGUCUUCAUGACUCAAAGCACCUCAAACUUCAGUGCAUCUUAAACUAUCCUUUGGGCAUGGUGACACACAAUGUUCUGGGCCACCUGGAAACAGAAGCAUUACAAAGCAGCAGCAACCAUCUAUUACAUCAGUGAACUGCAACAAGAAAAGAGCUUGAACUACAGUAUGUGAUGUUUUAAAUAUGGUCCCUGAGCCAAGUUGUUUCCUCCCUAGAACAUGCGUUAGGCAUCAGCUCUCGCCCGUCAUUUGCUGGGAUUGAUAAUGUGCCAAGUCUUGAAGUCUUGACUCAGUUCUUACUCCGACAAGACUCCCAUGGAAAUCAAUGGAAGUUUUGCCUGAUAAAAUGCUUCUGGAUUCCUCUCCAAAACACUUGGCUGUUUUGCAGGCACGUUUGCAAAAAUCCAACAUUUCAGCCCUGUAAAGCAGGAUUAUCAAAAUCUUAACUGAUGGAGGACAUUCUGAGGGCAAAAUACCCGGGGGCCUGCUGCUGGCAGUGGAACACUGCCUAUGUUUGAAAACCAAACCAAAACAAACCCAAGGACUACAGGACAGUACAUCAUCUAAAAAGCUGCUAGCAGAACAGCAGUUAAACUUAUCUGGCAGUAUCCACAUAUGUACAGCAUGAAACGACAGUACCUUGUUACACUGUAAGGUGAUCAAUCAAUGACUUGUGUUAUUUGGAGUCAUUUUGAAACUGAACAAAAGGCUAUGAGACGAGAUUUUUAUUAUUUAUUUAUUUUAUGUUUGUCCUGCAUGUGGAAAUUAGAAAAACUAAUGUGCAAUUGGUUCAUACAGAAAGAUGUACUGUAGCUUAGCAAGCAUUGCAUUGCAAUCAGUUUCAACAAAUACCACAAAAACACUUCAGGAUGAAUACAAUCACCAGAAAUAAAGAGAAACAAACUUUAA